CGGCCUAGCCUGCCUACUCCACCUCCCCUCAGUUGAGCCUAGAGUAGAGGGGCCAGGCACCCUCCUUCAUGGAAGAGAUUUGAGGAAGGAACCUCGCCUGGGCUGUCCUAGCCUCACAUUU
This 121-nucleotide small nucleolar RNA is filed under the name Spermophilus dauricus (Daurian ground squirrel). RNAcentral describes it as "Small Cajal body specific RNA 21 (ENSSDAG00000005791.1)". It matches the Rfam family "Small Cajal body specific RNA 21", at positions 21 to 140 of the family's 140-position model. From Rfam's summary of the family: scaRNAs are a specific class of small nuclear RNAs which localise to the Cajal bodies and guide the modification of RNA polymerase II transcribed spliceosomal RNAs U1, U2, U4, U5 and U12. ACA68 (SCARNA21) is a member of the H/ACA class of snoRNAs that guide the sites of modification of uridines to pseudouridines. The record is from Rfam by way of RNAcentral. Lineage: Eukaryota; Metazoa; Chordata; Mammalia; Rodentia; Sciuridae.